GUUUUAGAGCUAGAAAUAGCAAGUUAAAAUAAGGCUAGUCCGUUAUCAACUUGAAAAAGUGGCACCGAGUCGGUGCUUUUU
RNAcentral lists this guide RNA (81 nucleotides) under Binary vector pCas9LC. Its description in RNAcentral is "gRNA". It matches the Rfam family "Trans-activating crRNA". From Rfam's summary of the family: RNA-guided Streptococcus pyogenes Cas9 (SpCas9) is a sequence-specific DNA endonuclease, the Trans-activating CRISPR RNA form an hybrid with the crRNA (crRNA/tracrRNA). The RNA hybrid acts as a guide for the endonuclease Cas9. The record is from RNAcentral.